ACCUUGCUUUGACUCGCCGUUUGAUCUAUCAGUCAUAGACAGUGACCGCAUUGCUGUAACGUAUGGACGUAAAAAGUAUUUGGAGAUUUUGAAUAUGAAAAACAAUACUGUCGAGAGGAAAGUUAAAUUUGAUAACGACUGCUUUGGAAUAUCAUAUCAUGACAAUAAACUAUUUAUUGCUUCAGGAGGCGUUGUAAUAACAGAUAUUACAGGAACAGUACUAAAAACAUUUAAUAUUAAAUGUGGAUUAUACUUGACAACCACAGAGAUAGAAUUUAUUUUACAAGAAAUUUGUCUGUAAAUUGUAUCUCCAUGUCAGGUGAGAAAAUAUGGGAACACUCCGAGAAAUCUUCAGUCAAUCUGCAGGGCAUCACGGUUGAUGAUCACAAAAAUGUAUUUGUUACUGGUAUACAUUCGAAUAGGCUGAUAUUGAUACAACAUGACGGACAAUGCCGUAGAAAUUUACUUACAAUAA
RNAcentral lists this long non-coding RNA (475 nucleotides) under Mytilus galloprovincialis (Mediterranean mussel). Lineage: Eukaryota; Metazoa; Mollusca; Bivalvia; Mytilida; Mytilidae. The record is from RNAcentral.